RNAcentral lists this ribosomal RNA (370 nucleotides) under uncultured bacterium. Its description in RNAcentral is "bacterial SSU rRNA". It matches the Rfam family "Bacterial small subunit ribosomal RNA", at positions 527 to 896 of the family's 1533-position model. The record is from RNAcentral.
GGAGGGUGCAAGCGUUAAUCGGAAUUACUGGGCGUAAAGCGCGCGUAGGCGGUUUUGUAAGUCGGAUGUGAAAGCCCGGGCUUAACCUGGGAAUUGCAUUCGAUACUGCGUGACUAGAGUAUGGUAGAGGGAAGCGGAAUUCCGGGUGUAGCGGUGAAAUGCGUAGAUAUCCGGAGGAACACCAGUGGCGAAGGCGGCUUCCUGGACCAAUACUGACGCUGAGGCGCGAAAGCGUGGGGAGCAAACAGGAUUAGAUACCCUGGUAGUCCACGCCCUAAACUAUGUCAACUAGCCGUUGGGAUCAUUGAAGGUCUUAGUGGCGCAGCUAACGCGAUAAGUUGACCGCCUGGGGAGUACGGCCGCAAGGUUA